AGUCGAACGAUGAAGCUUUUAGCUUGCUAGAAGUGGAUUAGUGGCGCACGGGUGAGUAAGGUAUAGUUAAUCUGCCCUACACAAGAGGACAACAGUUGGAAACGACUGCUAAUACUCUAUACUCCUGCUUAACACAAGUUGAGUAGGGAAAGUUUUUCGGUGUAGGAUGAGACUAUAUAGUAUCAGCUAGUUGGUAAGGUAAUGGCUUACCAAGGCUAUGACGCUUAACUGGUCUGAGAGGAUGAUCAGUCACACUGGAACUGAGACACGGUCCAGACUCCUACGGGAGGCAGCAGUAGGGAAUAUUGCGCAAUGGGGGAAACCCUGACGCAGCAACGCCGCGUGGAGGAUGACACUUUUCGGAGCGUAAACUCCUUUUCUUAGGGAAGAAUUCUGACGGUACCUAAGGAAUAAGCACCGGCUAACUCCGUGCCAGCAGCCGCGGUAAUACGGAGGGUGCAAGCGUUACUCGGAAUCACUGGGCGUAAAGGGCGCGUAGGCGGAUUAUCAAGUCUCUUGUGAAAUCUAAUGGCUUAACCAUUAAACUGCUUGGGAAACUGAUAGUCUAGAGUGAGGGAGAGGCAGAUGGAAUUGGUGGUGUAGGGGUAAAAUCCGUAGAUAUCACCAAGAAUACCCAUUGCGAAGGCGAUUUGCUGGAACUCAACUGACGCUAAGGCGCGAAAGCGUGGGGAGCAAACAGGAUUAGAUACCCUGGUAGUCCACGCCCUAAACGAUGUACACUAGUUGUUGGGGUGCUAGUCAUCUCAGUAAUGCAGCUAACGCAUUAAGUGUACCGCCUGGGGAGUACGGUCGCAAGAUUAAAACUCAAAGGAAUAGACGGGGACCCGCACAAGCGGUGGAGCAUGUGGUUUAAUUCGAAGAUACGCGAAGAACCUUACCUGGGCUUGAUAUCCUAAGAACCUUAUAGAGAUAUGAGGGUGCUAGCUUGCUAGAACUUAGAGACAGGUGCUGCACGGCUGUCGUCAGCUCGUGUCGUGAGAUGUUGGGUUAAGUCCCGCAACGAGCGCAACCCAUGUAUUUAGUUGCUAACGGUUAGGCCGAGCACUCUAAAUAGACUGCCUUCGUAAGGAGGAGGAAGGUGUGGACGACGUCAAGUCAUCAUGGCCCUUAUGCCCAGGGCGACACACGUGCUACAAUGGCAUAUACAAUGAGACGCAAUACCGCGAGGUGGAGCAAAUCUAUAAAAUAUGUCCCAGUUCGGAUUGUUCUCUGCAACUCGAGAGCAUGAAGCCGGAAUCGCUAGUAAUCGUAGAUCAGCCAUGCUACGGUGAAUACGUUCCCGGGUCUUGUACNNNCCGCCCGUCACACCAUGGGAGUUGAUUCACUCGAAGCCGGAAUACUAA
RNAcentral lists this ribosomal RNA (1364 nucleotides) under Campylobacter jejuni. Its description in RNAcentral is "bacterial SSU rRNA". It matches the Rfam family "Bacterial small subunit ribosomal RNA", at positions 60 to 1438 of the family's 1533-position model. Lineage: Bacteria; Pseudomonadati; Campylobacterota; Epsilonproteobacteria; Campylobacterales; Campylobacteraceae. The record is from RNAcentral.